GUCACAGACAGGUCCUGUCUGAUUCACUGACAGCCCUGGGGGAAGGGAGGUAUAUCAUGACCUGCUCCUCUCCUACUCCCUGGGCUUGAGUCACUCCUACUGAGUCAGCUCCGGGGAGUAAAGAUGAAGCAAGAAGCUGACAUCACACCAUAUCAAGCUAGAAGGCCUACUGGGGCUUCCAGUGUGACAUGCGGCAGAUUUCUCUGUACAAAGUAUCAGAUAAUGCAGGAGUGCCUGGGAACAUAGUAUCUCCUUCCUCUCCUGGAUCUAGAGACCCAAGAUAAGGAGUCAGGUUGGAAGAACGGCAGCUACAGAACCCACCCUAAAUGAUGUAAGUAUUCACCUAAUACCUGCCUCUCAGUGCCAUCCAUAAUCUUAUCCUGGAGUGGGAGUUAGAUGUAAGGAAAGAGGGACCAAGGAUC
RNAcentral lists this long non-coding RNA (422 nucleotides) under Pan troglodytes (chimpanzee). RNAcentral describes it as "long non-coding RNA NONPTRT000462". Lineage: Eukaryota; Metazoa; Chordata; Mammalia; Primates; Hominidae. The record is from RNAcentral.